AGGAGGGUAGCUUAAUUGGUCUAAAGCGCCUGUUCUCCAAAAACAGGGUUGAAGGUUUAAUUCCUUCCCCUCCUGCCA
RNAcentral lists this transfer RNA (78 nucleotides) under Candidatus Kuenenbacteria bacterium CG08_land_8_20_14_0_20_37_23. RNAcentral describes it as "tRNA-OTHER". It matches the Rfam family "tRNA". Rfam says of the family: Transfer RNA (tRNA) molecules are approximately 80 nucleotides in length. Their secondary structure includes four short double-helical elements and three loops (D, anti-codon, and T loops). The record is from RNAcentral. Lineage: Bacteria; Candidatus Kueneniibacteriota.